Molecule: ribosomal RNA, 549 nt
Filed under: uncultured bacterium
Lineage: Bacteria
Description: bacterial SSU rRNA
Rfam family: Bacterial small subunit ribosomal RNA
Source: RNAcentral
UAGGGANUCUUCGGCAAUGGGGGCAACCCUGACCGAGCAACGCCGCGUGAGUGAAGAAGGUUUUCGGAUCGUAAAGCUCUGUUGUAAGUCAAGAACGAGUGUGAGAGUGGAAAGUUCACACUGUGACGGUAGCUUACCAGAAAGGGACGGCUAACUACGUGCCAGCAGCCGCGGUAAUACGUAGGUCCCGAGCGUUGUCCGGAUUUAUUGGGCGUAAAGCGAGCGCAGGCGGUUUGAUAAGUCUGAAGUUAAAGGCUGUGGCUCAACCAUAGUUCGCUUUGGAAACUGUCAAACUUGAGUGCAGAAGGGGAGAGUGGAAUUCCAUGUGUAGCGGUGAAAUGCGUAGAUAUAUGGAGGAACACCGGUGGCGAAAGCGGCUCUCUGGUCUGUAACUGACGCUGAGGCUCGAAAGCGUGGGGAGCGAACAGGAUUAGAUACCCUGGUAGUCCACGCCGUNNCGAUGAGUGCUAGGUGUUGGAUCCUUUCCGGGAUUCAGUGCCGCAGCUAANGCAUUAAGCACUCCGCCUGGGGAGUACGACCGCNAGGUUG